GGUGAGGAAUUAGUGAUGAGUUAUUGUGGAUUGUUGUUGAUGUUUGCAUGCUAGGUGAUUUAGCGUGCAUAGCAUAGCCCUUGGGGUGGUAGCUAAUUCCCAUGGUGAGGAAUUAGUGAUGUGAGUCACUAGGUCUCAAAUGAGUGGGACUAGUGAGCUUGGUAGCCGUACCUGGAUUUGGUCGGUGAGGUUGAACUAUAUGUUCACGAAUAGUCGGUACCGCAUGCAUGGAGUCUCAUUGCAUAACGUAUGUAUGUAUGGCGUAUAAUAUG
Molecule: long non-coding RNA, 272 nt
Filed under: Lathyrus oleraceus (garden pea)
Lineage: Eukaryota; Viridiplantae; Streptophyta; Magnoliopsida; Fabales; Fabaceae
Description: Pisum sativum (pea) long non-coding RNA (PSAT_LNC015707)
Source: RNAcentral